GCAAUGUUUGCCUUGGGAGAUAGUGCAAAGCUUUUCUGGUAGCCCUUUGUUGUGGAUCCAGAAGGCUGAUAGUUUGAAAUACAUAUGGCUUCCUACUGAAUACUGGGACAAAGAAAAGAACAACCACCCAAAAUAUAUCUGGAAAAGUCAUCCAAGAAUGGGAAAUUAAAUGAGUUAGCUUGCUACCAAAUAGUCUACAACUCCAUAGAAGUGGUGUGGCACGUGGAAAAGAAUUGUAUGGGGACUCUUGCCAAUUCAUCCGCAAAGAAUGAGAUAGAUGUGUGAUUGAAAAGUAUUUGUCUAACCAGCUGCAGCUGUGUGUAGCUGAUACAUAAACCCUCAUUUAGAAGA
Non-coding RNA from Pelodiscus sinensis (Chinese soft-shelled turtle), 351 nucleotides. NCBI's taxonomy places the organism in Eukaryota, Metazoa, Chordata, Testudines, Trionychidae. The record is from RefSeq and is a predicted model, not a curated record.